RNAcentral lists this ribosomal RNA (471 nucleotides) under uncultured Ascomycota. RNAcentral's name for it is "eukaryotic LSU rRNA". It matches the Rfam family "Eukaryotic large subunit ribosomal RNA", at positions 54 to 524 of the family's 3401-position model. Lineage: Eukaryota; Fungi; Ascomycota. The record is from RNAcentral.
AGGAAAGGAAACCAACCGGGAUUGCCUCAGUAACGGCGAGUGAAGCGGCAAGAGCUCAGAUUUGAAAUCUGCUACCUUCGGUAGCCGAGUUGUAGCGUGUAGAGUGUUGUCCCGGAUGCACGGCGUGGUCUAGGUUCCCUGGAAAGGGACGCCGUAGAGGGUGAGAGCCCCGUGCGGCCUUGUCUGUGGCAUCCGCUGUGGGACGUGCUCGAGGAGUCGAGUUGUUUGGGAAUGCAGCUCAAAGUGGGUGGUAAACUCCAUCUAAAGCUAAAUACAGGCGAGAGACCGAUAGCGAACAAGUACAGUGAUGGAAAGAUGAAAAGCACUUUGAAAAGAGAGUGAAACAGCACGUGAAAUUGUUGAAAGGGAAGGGCAGCUGCUCAGACAUGGCAGGUUGCGUCCUCUGCUCCUCGUGGGCGGGGGUUCAACGCGGCUUGCUGGGCCAGCAUCAGUUUUGGCGGCAGGAGAAAA